This 244-nucleotide ribosomal RNA is filed under the name uncultured Staphylococcus sp. RNAcentral's name for it is "partial 16S ribosomal RNA". It matches the Rfam family "Bacterial small subunit ribosomal RNA", at positions 96 to 334 of the family's 1533-position model. The record is from RNAcentral. Lineage: Bacteria; Bacillati; Bacillota; Bacilli; Caryophanales; Staphylococcaceae.
CGGCGGACGGGUGAGUAACACGUGGGUAACCUACCUAUAAGACUGGGAUAACUUCGGGAAACCGGAGCUAAUACCGGAUAAUAUAUUGAACCGCAUGGUUCAAUAGUGAAAGACGGUUUUGCUGUCACUUAUAGAUGGAUCCGCGCCGCAUUAGCUAGUCGGUAAGGUAAUGGCUUACCAAGGCAACGAUGGGUAGCCGACCUGAGAGGGUGAUCGGCCACACUGGAACUGAGACACGGUCCAG